Long non-coding RNA from Bos taurus (domestic cattle), 1606 nucleotides. Lineage: Eukaryota; Metazoa; Chordata; Mammalia; Artiodactyla; Bovidae. The record is from Ensembl.
GAAUUGAUGCUUUUGAACUGUGGUGUUGGAGAAGACUCUUGAGAGUCCCUUGGACUGCAAGGAGAUCCAACCAGUCCAUCCUAAAGGAGACCAGCCCUGGGAUUUCUUUGGAAGGAAUGAUGCUGAAGCUGAAACUCCAGUACUUUGGCCACCUCAUGGGAAGAGUUGACUCAUUGGAAAAGACUCUGAUGCUGGGAGGGAUUGGGGGCAGGAGGAGAAGGGGACGACAGAGGAUGAGAUGGCUGGAUGGCAUCACCGACAUGAUGGACGUGAGUUUGAGUGAACUCCGGGAGUUGGUGAUGGACAGGGAGGCCUGGCAUGCUGCGGUUCAUGGGGUCACAAAGAGUCAGACAGGACUGAGCGACUGAAUUGGACUAAACUGGAACUGGACUGUAGCCUACCAGGCUCUUCUGUCCAUGGAAUUUUCCAGGUAAGAGUACUGGCGGGUUGCCAUUUCCUUCUCCAGGGGAACUUCCCAACCCAGGGAUUGAACACAGGUCUACCGCAUUGCAGGCAGACCCUUUACCAUCUGAGCCACCUUGGAAGAGCCACCGGAAGCCUGGCUAGAGCCUUUUGGGUUCACAGCCCUGGAUUUAAUGGAGCGAGAUCUGGCAGGGAGAGGCGCGAGGUAGGGGGAGGACUGGGCACCGGUGUUUGUAAACAGCACAAGUGGUCAGAGCAGGGACCCCCGACUUUCCAGGACGUGAGUCAGCUAAGGCACCAGGUCUGAACACUUCUUCUAAAAAGUGGACUUCAGUGUGACCUCUUCCAGAGCCUCUGUGUCCACUGGGACCCCUGGUGCCUCCUGCACGCGCCCUGACCCCUGACCCAGGAGUUCUGUCCUGGACCCGCCGGUCUUCCUGGCCAAUGGGAUCCGUCCCUCCGUGCCUUCUCGUUCUCACAGCCCUGGGGGUCCUGAGUAGGUACAUCCAGCUUCUUCAAACCCAAACAGAAACGUUGGGCCGCUGGGCGCGAUGAGGAUGAAAGCUGCCCACUGUUGAGACCUACUGCUCAGAAAACAAGAUUCUUUCCCAAUUACUGCUCACUGACCAAGAGCUCUGACGGAUGAUGAGGCUCGAGCUGUUUCACACCUGCUAACACAGCCAACCUGCAGCCCACGGAGCCCUGACUUUCAAGUCCUGUCAUUUAAGAAACCCAUCUCACAAGGCUAUAGCUGCCAUAGACAGCAGUUCUUCGAUGGAUCUGGGCAACCUCCUGGAGAGGAGUCGGCAUUUCAGAUGCUGCCAAGGACGUUUGUGAUCUGUGCAAAGAGGUCAGAACGUCCACAGUAACAGGAGCUGCAGGAAGUGGAUCCCAGCCCUCAGGGGUGGCUUCUCAGGGCUCAAGAUUCUUGUUCAUGUAUGACAAAAACCCACAAAAUUCUGUAAAGAAAUACUCGUCAAUUUAAAAAAAAAAAAAGGAAUAAGAGACUUCAGUGGAGGAAGCAGCAGUGAGUGUACUGGAACAGCAGGAGGACUGCAGUCACACACGGAGCCUGAAGACGGGACUGAAGCGCAUGGACCUCAGGAUGAAGUCUGAACAGAGGAGGAGCUGCUUCCCAUGGAUAAGCGAAGGAAGCGGUUGCUUGAGACAGAAUUUACUCCUG